Molecule: ribosomal RNA, 510 nt
Filed under: uncultured bacterium
Lineage: Bacteria
Description: partial 16S ribosomal RNA
Rfam family: Bacterial small subunit ribosomal RNA
Source: RNAcentral
GACGAACGCUGGCGGCGUGCUUAACACAUGCAAGUCGAACGCAGAGGGAUGGAGGCUUGCUUCUUUCAAUCUUAUGCGCACGCGGGAGUGUAACGCGUAUUCCACCUCCUCUUCAGGGGGGUACAACAGUUGGACACGAGCGCUUAUACCGCAUACGAUCUAAUCCCGGCAUCUAUGUUUGAUGAAAGCUGGUGCCUGCAUGUAAGCUAUCACUGCGGUGGGUGAUUGCGUCGGAUUAGCUAGUAGGCGGGGAAACGGCCCACCAAGGCGAUGAUCAGUAGCCGGUCUGAGAGGAUGAACGGCCACACUGGGACUGAGACACGGCUCAGACUCCUACGGGAGGCAGCAGUGGGGAAUCUUCCGCAAUGGACGAAAGUCUGACGGAGCAACGCCGCGUGAGUGAAGAAGGCUUUCGGGUUGUAAAGCUCUGUUGAUCGGGAAGAAAGGGCUUCUUGCGAAUAGGGAGAAGGAGUGACGGUACCGGAACAGAAAGCCACGGCUAACUACGUG